Molecule: ribosomal RNA, 495 nt
Filed under: uncultured bacterium
Lineage: Bacteria
Description: partial 16S ribosomal RNA
Rfam family: Bacterial small subunit ribosomal RNA
Source: RNAcentral
GACGAACGCUGGCGGCGUGCCUAAUACAUGCAAGUAGAACGCUGAAGGAGGAGCUUGCUUCUCCGGAUGAGUUGCGAACGGGUGAGUAACGCGUAGGUAACCUGCCUGGUAGCGGGGGAUAACUAUUGGAAACGAUAGCUAAUACCGCAUAAGAGUAGAUGUCGCAUGACAUUUGCUUAAAAGGUGCAACUGCACCACUACCAGAUGGACCUGCGUUGUAUUGGCUAGUUGGUGAGGUAACGGCUCACCAAGGCAACGAUACAUAGCCGACCUGAGAGGGUGAUCGGCCACACUGGGACUGAGACACGGCCCAGACUCCUACGGGAGGCAGCAGUAGGGAAUCUUCGGCAAUGGACGGAAGUCUGACCGAGCAACGCCGCGUGAGUGAAGAAGGGUUUCGGAUCGUAAAGCUCUGUUGUAAGAGAAGAACGAGUGUGAGAGUGGAAAGUUCACACUGUGACGGUAUCUUACCAGAAAGGGACGGCUAACUACGUG